GACAAAAUGCUUCAACAUUGUAUUUAUGAAAGGACUGGUACCAUGUAUAGCCUCUACAUUUUAAAUAACAGUCUGUAUAAUGGUGUAAAUAAGCCUUUUGAAUACCAUGAUUUCUUUUGCUGCUAGGAUACUACUGCUAGGAUAACCUUUUAAACUUGUCAGCCACACACUCCCAGGCCCUACUGUUUUCUUUGCCUUGCGGUGACUUGUUCUUCAUCCCUGGUGCAGGUCAUUCAAACUUUUAUUUACUGCAAUAAGUGAAAGAUUACAUUUUGUGGAGACCUAAUACCUAACAAGAAGACCUCUGUAAAGUCAUUCACACAGUAACAUGCAUAUCUGUCGUGAACUCCAGAAAUCAGUUACUGCCCCAAAAUACACAAGUCAUGUAGGCAAUGAUGAGUUAAUGAUUGAGGUCAAAAUCAAGUUCCCAGUGUCAGGAAAGAACUAAUGUAUUUUAAGUGGCUUUACAUGAAGUAGUCCACACCAUUGUCUGCAUGCCUAAGUAGCUCAGCAUGUGACUCCCAUUAGCACUUGAAAGGAGUGUGAUAUAACAAAUCCCUCAUCAUCAAAAUGGGAAUAUACCCUUGCAUUUUAGCACAUUCCAAGGAAACCUAGAGCAAUGUACUCAUUGUGACUAAAGGCGGGUGGUUUCCAGAUGCUCUUUGGUCAGUCAGUUAACUGGGGAUUGUGCAUAGUGUUGUUCCUCAAAUUGCAGCCUUCCUUAUGCUGCUCAUUCUGCAAAACAAAUACCAGUGCUCCCCGCGAUGAAACUUAAGAAUAAAAGGCAGCAGGGUUUCCCUGUUCUGAUUGCUUGUGACUCAGGAGCUUGGACUUUGUUACGCCAAAGAGUAUUGACUUUUCAUUACUGGAAUUAUGAGAAGAUUCUGGGUACAAGAAAAAGCAAAUUUUCUUUCAGUGUAAGCAGGUUCCCUGUGCAGACCAGGAAGAGCUCAGUUCAGCAUCCUCAGCAUGAUGCUAAGAAAAGGUGGUCUUCCAGAUUUUCAGAGCAGGCACCAGAGAGAUGAUGUAGUCCAGUCACA
This 1040-nucleotide long non-coding RNA is filed under the name Dromaius novaehollandiae (emu). RNAcentral describes it as "lncRNA (ENSDNVG00000005939.1)". Lineage: Eukaryota; Metazoa; Chordata; Aves; Casuariiformes; Dromaiidae. The record is from RNAcentral.